UAUUCACUGAUUGCUUCAGAUGUGAAGGGGCAGCCAGGCUGGGACAAAAGGGAUUCCCACCCAGAGUGCGCGAAGCUUCUGUGACCGAGGUGGCUGCUGCUUAUGGCCCACCUUCCCUUCACCACAGGCCUCUCUCCCUCCCUCCUUCCCUCCCUCCCUCUUGCAUUUUUCUUUAAAAUGUAGUUGAUUAGAAGCGCACUCUGUUUGAAUUUGGCAAUGUGGAGUUGUGUAUAGCAUGGAACCUUUUCUUUAUGCAUCGAUGGUCAUGUGUUGUGAAAUGUUUUCUUGGGAUGAGUCAUCAAGACAAUACAAUGACAAUGAAAGUCUAAUAUCACGUUAUUGGCAGACUGCCAGUCUUCCGAAGAGUCCAUGGGGUCUAAUUCCAUGCGUUCUAUCCUGGAGGAAGACGAGGUAGAUGAGGAGCCACCAAGAGUCCUUUUAUACCAUGAACCACGUUCGUUUGAAGUAGGAAUGCUAGUCUGGCUUAAAUAUAAAAAAUACCCCUUCUGGCCAGCAGUGGUCAAAAGCAUCAGGCAGAGAGAUAAGAAAGCAAGUGUGCUGUACAU
This 566-nucleotide small RNA is filed under the name Pongo abelii (Sumatran orangutan). RNAcentral's name for it is "retained intron". Lineage: Eukaryota; Metazoa; Chordata; Mammalia; Primates; Hominidae. The record is from RNAcentral.